GUAUACAAUCUGCCUCAUACAGGGGGAUAGCCUUUAGAAAUGAAGAUUAAUAUCCCAUAGUUUGUUAGAGUGGCAUCAUUCCAACAAUAAAGGUUUACGGUAUGAGAUGAGUAUGCGUUCUAUUAGCUAGUUGGUGUGGUAACGGCAUACCAAGGCGACGAUAGAUAGGGGCCCUGAGAGGGGGAUCCCCCACACUGGUACUGAGACACGGACCAGACUCCUACGGGAGGCAGCAGUGAGGAAUAUUGGACAAUGGAGGGAACUCUGAUCCAGCCAUGCCGCGUGCAGGAAGACUGCCCUAUGGGUUGUAAACUGCUUUUAUACAGGAAGAAACCCUCCCUCGCGCAGGGAGCUUGACGGUACUGUAAGAAUAAGGAUCGGCUAACUCCGUGCCAGCAGCCGCGGUAAUACGGAGGAUCCAAGCGCUAUCCGGAAUCAUUGGGUUUAAAGGGUCCGUAGUUGAUAAUUAAGUCAGAGGUGAAAUCCUGCAGCUUAACUGUAGAAUUGCCUUUGAUACUGGUUGUCUUG
This 528-nucleotide ribosomal RNA is filed under the name uncultured bacterium. RNAcentral's name for it is "bacterial SSU rRNA". It matches the Rfam family "Bacterial small subunit ribosomal RNA", at positions 117 to 644 of the family's 1533-position model. The record is from RNAcentral.